GAGGGUAUAGCUCAGUGGUAAGAGUGCACGCUUAGCAUGCGCAAGGUCCUGGGUUCAAUCCCCAGCACCUCCA
This 73-nucleotide transfer RNA is filed under the name Camelus bactrianus (Bactrian camel). It matches the Rfam family "tRNA". Rfam says of the family: Transfer RNA (tRNA) molecules are approximately 80 nucleotides in length. Their secondary structure includes four short double-helical elements and three loops (D, anti-codon, and T loops). Further hydrogen bonds mediate the characteristic L-shaped molecular structure. tRNAs have two regions of fundamental functional importance: the anti-codon, which is responsible for specific mRNA codon recognition, and the 3' end, to which the tRNAs corresponding amino acid is attached (by aminoacyl-tRNA synthetases). tRNAs cope with the degeneracy of the genetic code in two manners: having more than one tRNA (with a specific anti-codon) for a particular amino acid; and 'wobble' base-pairing, i.e. permitting non-standard base-pairing at the 3rd anti-codon position. The record is from Rfam by way of RNAcentral. Lineage: Eukaryota; Metazoa; Chordata; Mammalia; Artiodactyla; Camelidae. RNAcentral also lists the same sequence under 1 other name.